GGCUUAAUAGUCAAAGUAAUGAUUUUAAAUUGCAAAUUUAAAGGUGAAUAAUUUUUUAAGCUU
RNAcentral lists this transfer RNA (63 nucleotides) under Mylabris sp. MYL01. Its description in RNAcentral is "tRNA-Cys". Lineage: Eukaryota; Metazoa; Arthropoda; Insecta; Coleoptera; Meloidae. The record is from RNAcentral.